CAACCCCGCUUACUCGAACACGCCUCCUGUUCCUAUUGCUCAGACCAAACGGUCGUCGACCUGCUGGCCGGGCCGUCCAGCACAGUACCCGUCCGGGUCGGAGCUGUCGAUACCUACAGCAGCUGGCACGUUCGUUACAUGAACGAACUAUCUAUCGUAGCACGCUAGCACGCAUCUGUUCCCGUCUCCUCAGCCUCCGUCUCAAACUCGCCCGGUCAUCCCAUCUCCACCACCACAUCCGUCCUCUUCCGCCGCCGCCGAUGGCCCGCCUCCUCACACAAACCCUCACCCUAGCCCGUCCCGCCGCCUCCUCCUCCCCCACCGCCGCAUUCGCCUCCCUCCGUUGCCUCGCUACCAAGGUCGAGAUCGUCGAGAUCGACCUCACCGAGGAAGACGCUGGCUCCUCGGCCCACGGCUCCUCCCCCUCGUCCCCAUCGAUCGAGGUGGUUGGGAUCCGGCGCCUGGAGGAGGCCAUCCACGGCGUCAUGGUGCGCCGCGCCGCUCCCGAUUGGCUGCCCUUCGUGCCUGGAGGGUCCUACUGGGUGCCCCCGCUGCGCCUCCCGCACGAGGUCACCGCGUUUGUCGGCCGGAUCGCGGCCUCAGGAGGCGCCUCCGGGGUCGCCAAGUUCAUGGACGGUGUCGCGGCCCCUGGGGGCGCCGGGGCCGUUGGCGGCGCGUUCGAAGUCGUGGAACUCGACGACGACGAGCUCAUGGAGGAGGAGGAGGAGGAGGCGCUUUGCUUCUCCACCACGCGCGGCUGGCCCUCGGCCUCUUUCUUCGUCCAAGGGAAAUCUCCGGAUACAAGGAGGAAAUCUAGGAAAGGUGCAAUUCAAACUAAUGAUGAAGAAAGCUGAUUCGUUUGUGCUAUGUUGCAAGGGAAGGGCGGGCCUAGUACAGCGAUAGAGCCUACCGUCUAUAAUCGGAAGGUCCCGGGUUCGAGCCCCAGCCUCUGCAUAUUAUGCGGGUAAGGCUUGACGCUUAAAGAUACCCUUCCCCAGACCCCGCACAGUGCGGGAAGCCUACGGCACUGGGCUCCUAAAAGGAAACGCAGUGCAGAGUUUAAUGACUGCCAUGAUCAAUGUACAUUUGGAUGGGAAUGAGCCAUUUGCUGGUAAACCAUGGCACCUGCUACUGUUGAUGUUGCCUCAUCCGACCUGGAAGAUAUAUCUGUAAAUUCAGGCUGAAGCUCAGGUGGUUAUUGUAUCAACAAGCCCUGGCACAAAAGGCUUCGUUUGUAACAAACUAACAAUAAAGCAUCGAUUGACCUGUUUGCUGAAUGUGUGAUACGGUACUUCCAAUACUAGGUCAGCAUCAGUCCAGAAGCUGUACCCUGAACAAAGAUUCUGGAUGGCUUCUUGUGCCAGCUAGGAACAAUGUAAAAUUGAUGUAAGCGUCUGUGCGCACUCCUGAUCCAUGUACAACUAAGUUAAAAUUUUAAACUGUUAUAGAUUGUUGUAUGGAUAGCUCUCAAUUGCUA
This is an RNA transcript of Zea mays, 1477 nucleotides long. RefSeq lists it as uncharacterized. Lineage: Eukaryota; Viridiplantae; Streptophyta; Magnoliopsida; Poales; Poaceae. The transcript has 4 exons. The record is from RefSeq and is marked predicted.